AACGAACGCUGGCGGCAUGCCUAACACAUGCAAGUCGAACGAGACCUUCGGGUCUAGUGGCGCACGGGUGCGUAACGCGUGGGAACCUGCCUUUAGGUUCGGAAUAACUCAGAGAAAUUUGAGCUAAUACCGGAUAAUGUCUUCGGACCAAAGAUUUAUCGCCUUUAGAUGGGCCCGCGUUGGAUUAGCUAGUUGGUGGGGUAAAGGCCUACCAAGGCGACGAUCCAUAGCUGGUCUGAGAGGAUGAUCAGCCACACUGGGACUGAGACACGGCCCAGACUCCUACGGGAGGCAGCAGUGGGGAAUAUUGGACAAUGGGCGAAAGACCUGAUCCAGCAAUGCCGCGUGAGUGAUGAAGG
RNAcentral lists this ribosomal RNA (359 nucleotides) under uncultured bacterium. RNAcentral describes it as "bacterial SSU rRNA". It matches the Rfam family "Bacterial small subunit ribosomal RNA", at positions 29 to 414 of the family's 1533-position model. The record is from RNAcentral.